GAGCAACAGUGAAAAAACAUGAAAAAGCACUGGCCCUGGACUCAGGAAAUUGGCUGAGAAUUUCAUUUCUGCUGCUUGUCAAUUGGAUAAAUGUAAUUUCUUUGAGAUUCCAUUUUCUCCCAUUUGGAAUGGUGAUAAUGACACCUAUUCUGCCCACUUUAUACAUUGGCUGUGAGGAUGGAAGUCUAUCCCUGAAAGAAAAGAGGAAAUGCAAUUAGACACGAAGCUUAUUGGAAGAAGGCUUAGAAAUGGAGUGGACAUGCAAAAGGGGACCAACCCAAACAUUUGCUAAAUUUCUGCCUGAAUUGUUUGGAGUCUUUUUAUGGAUGAAAGAUGCGUGCUUCACAACCUCCUCACUGCUGGACCUGGGUGGUAUGUCUUGAAAAGUCCUGGUUGCCACAUUAACCCUCACUAUAGCAUUGACCAUGGAAGCCAUGGAACCAUCUGCCAUGGAACCUCUUUGGAUGACUAGGUAGGAUGAGGUGACAGAAGCAGCAUUCAUGCUCAUCCAUUCUCCUCGAGUGGGACUCCAUUGCCAACUUCAAGAAC
Lynx canadensis (Canada lynx) is the source of this 549-nucleotide long non-coding RNA. RefSeq lists it as uncharacterized. The record is from RefSeq and is a predicted model, not a curated record. The transcript has 4 exons. Lineage: Eukaryota; Metazoa; Chordata; Mammalia; Carnivora; Felidae.